CAUAAACAUAAAAAUGAGCUCAAAUGAGGAAAGGGAAAAGACAAUAUGAAUAAAUGAGCAAGAAAUUAAAUUGCAUUAAAGUAAAUUGCAAGAAUUAAAUGCUUGAAUUAAAAGUUAGUAAUUAGUAGUUAGUGUUAGUGUGUCAUAAGGUAAUUUAGCGCUAUGUUAAGCAAUCGUAAGUGGACUAAUGUAGUAGUUACACCUAUCUGAGGCCGUUCAAUAAAACUAUAGGCAACUAAACACAAGUUAGAGACCAUGACUAGUAAGCCAAGCUUCUACAACUUGCCAUGCCAAAAGAAAAGAAGG
RNAcentral lists this long non-coding RNA (306 nucleotides) under Lathyrus oleraceus (garden pea). Its description in RNAcentral is "Pisum sativum (pea) long non-coding RNA (PSAT_LNC019483)". Lineage: Eukaryota; Viridiplantae; Streptophyta; Magnoliopsida; Fabales; Fabaceae. The record is from RNAcentral.